ACAGCAGUCGCCACGGUAAUACGAAGGGGGCUAGCGUUGCUCGGAAUUACUGGGCGUAAAGGGAGCGUAGGUGGACAGUUUAGUCAGAGGUGAAAGCCCAGGGCUCAACCUUGGAAUUGCCUUUGAUACUGGCUGUCUUGAGUACGGAAGAGGUAUGUGGAACUCCGAGUGUAGAGGUGAAAUUCGUAGAUAUUCGGAAGAACACCAGUGGCGAAGGCGACAUACUGGUCCGUUACUGACACUGAGGCUCGAAAGCGUGGGGAGCAAACAGGAUUAGAUACCCCUGUAGUCCCUGUCUCUUAUAC
Molecule: ribosomal RNA, 305 nt
Filed under: uncultured bacterium
Lineage: Bacteria
Description: partial 16S ribosomal RNA
Rfam family: Bacterial small subunit ribosomal RNA
Source: RNAcentral